GACGAACGCUGGCGGCGUGCUUAACACAUGCAAGUCGAACGGAAAGGCCCUGCUUUUGUGGGGUGCUCGAGUGGCGAACGGGUGAGUAACACGUGAGUAACCUGCCCUUGACUUUGGGAUAACUUCAGGAAACUGGGGCUAAUACCGGAUAGGAGCUCCUGCUGCAUGGUGGGGGUUGGAAAGUUUCGGCGGUUGGGGAUGGACUCGCGGCUUAUCAGCUUGUUGGUGGGGUAGUGGCUUACCAAGGCUUUGACGGGUAGCCGGCCUUAGAGGGUGACCGGCCACAUUGGGACUGAGAUACGGCCCAGACUCCUACGGGAGGCAGCAGUGGGGUAUAUUGCACAAUGGGCGGAAGCCUGAUGCAGCAACGCCGCGUGCGGGAUGACGGCCUUCGGGUUGUAAACCGCUUUCGCCUGUGACGAAGCGUGAGUGACGGUAAUGGGUAAAGAAGCACCGGCUAACUACGUG
Molecule: ribosomal RNA, 468 nt
Filed under: uncultured bacterium
Lineage: Bacteria
Description: partial 16S ribosomal RNA
Rfam family: Bacterial small subunit ribosomal RNA
Source: RNAcentral